This 200-nucleotide ribosomal RNA is filed under the name uncultured bacterium. RNAcentral's name for it is "partial 16S ribosomal RNA". It matches the Rfam family "Bacterial small subunit ribosomal RNA", at positions 8 to 224 of the family's 1533-position model. The record is from RNAcentral.
AGAGUUUGAUCAUGGCUCAGGACGAACGCUGGCGGCAUGCCUAACACAUGCAAGUCGAACGCCCCGCAAGGGGAGUGGCGGACGGGUGAGUAACGCGUGGGAACCUGCCCUUUGGUUCGGGAUAACCCGGCGAAAGCCGUGCUAAUACCGGAUGUGUCCCCUGGUCGAGAGGUUGGGGGAGAAAGAUUUAUCGCCAAAGG